Molecule: RNase P RNA, 402 nt
Filed under: Pirellulales bacterium
Lineage: Bacteria; Pseudomonadati; Planctomycetota; Planctomycetia; Pirellulales
Description: RNase P RNA component class A
Rfam family: Bacterial RNase P class A
About the family: Ribonuclease P (RNase P) is a ubiquitous endoribonuclease, found in archaea, bacteria and eukarya as well as chloroplasts and mitochondria. Its best characterised activity is the generation of mature 5'-ends of tRNAs by cleaving the 5'-leader elements of precursor-tRNAs.
Source: RNAcentral
GGAGCGGACCGGGUAGUCGCCGGUCUGGUGGCAACUGCCGCCAGGCGGGAGGAAAGUCCGGGCUCCAGAGGACAGGGUGGUGGGUAACACCCACCGACCGCAAGGUCCGGGCAAGUGCAACAGAAAGGAAACCGCCCCUUGCGCAUGCGUGAGGGGUAAGGGUGAAACGGUGCGGUAAGAGCGCACCAGCAGGCCGGGUGACCGGUCUGGCUAGGUAAACCCCACCCGGAGCAAAGCCAAACAGAGAGCAGUCCCGCAACCGCGGGCCACGGGCCGGUCCGGUCCGUUAUCGACUUUCGGGUAGGCUGCUGGAGGCGGUGAGCAAUCACCGUCGUAGAGAAAUGGCUACCUCGCAAACCGUAAGGUUUGCGACAGAACCCGGCUUAUAGGUCCGCUCCGCAU